UACGCUCACAUCACACUGAAACACCGGCUCCCGUACGAUCACCGAAGUUAAGCAACGUCGAACCUGGUUAGUACCUCGAUGGGUGACCGUUCGGGAAUUGCUG
Acanthosepion pharaonis is the source of this 103-nucleotide non-coding RNA. The record is from the annotation of a GenBank genome assembly. NCBI's taxonomy places the organism in Eukaryota, Metazoa, Mollusca, Cephalopoda, Sepiida, Sepiidae.